RNAcentral lists this ribosomal RNA (253 nucleotides) under uncultured bacterium. RNAcentral describes it as "partial 16S ribosomal RNA". It matches the Rfam family "Bacterial small subunit ribosomal RNA", at positions 524 to 776 of the family's 1533-position model. The record is from RNAcentral.
GACGUAGGGGGCCAGCGUUGCUCGGAAUUACUGGGCGUAAAGGGUUCGUAGGCGGUGCGGCAAGUCGGAAGUGAAAUCUCCAGGCUCAACUUGGAGGCUGCUCCCGAAACUGCCGUGCUAGAGUGCGGGAGAGGCCAGUGGAAUUGCAGGUGUAGCGGUGAAAUGCGUAGAUAUCUGCAGGAACACCCGUGGCGAAGGCGGCUGGCUGGACCGCAACUGACGCUGAGGAACGAAAGCCAGGGGAGCAAACGGG